Molecule: non-coding RNA, 72 nt
Organism: Podarcis lilfordi (Lilford's wall lizard)
Lineage: Eukaryota; Metazoa; Chordata; Lepidosauria; Squamata; Lacertidae
Source: the annotation of a GenBank genome assembly
GAUUGAUUGCUCAGUCGGUAGAGGGUGAGACUCUCCAUCUCAGGAUUGUGGGUUUGAGCCCGACAUUGGGCA